UGAAAUUGAUCAAUAAUUGAGAAAAAGCUGCAAAUCUACAAAAAAACUCAUGACUUUAUUUUGACAUUCACUGUUCAUCGCGUUUUUUCCGCCAACUCGGACGAGUCACUUUUGCAAACCGGGCAAUUCGUGUCUUUUAUGGCAAAACAAUGCGUCCUUAGCGAUUCCCGUGUGGACCUGCGUGAUUCCGGGUCCACUCACCCUUUUUUUAACCACUGCUAUCUCGAACCUCUCCCUUACAAGUUAUCCCAUCUGGCCUCCCUCUCCAAUUAUCUCUCUAGAUUUCUAUCACCUCUCUCUCUCUCUCUCUAGAUUUUCCUUUCUUCUGUUUGCUGCAAUUUGAAUCGUGUCCUCCCUCACUAGGAUUGAUAGUUGGGGGUGGAAGAACUCUAUAUGUGGGCCUCAAUGCUACAGGGGCAAAGGUGAAGCCACAUCUAGCUUGGAGUCAGGCCAGGGGGCUUGAAAGGUGGUGGGGUGUCACUUUGGAGGGUGUCUCAUGGGGGAGGGGGGCUGAUAUGUGGACCUCAGAGAUAUUGUGGCGCAGUGUGAGAGGACCAACAUUGGGGAGCCCCCUUUGAAUUUUGCUGAGAUCAAAAUUUGAUGGUUUGGUCUUGAGAGGAAGCCCCUUUGAAUUUCUAGCAGGUGAUUCUUAGCAGUCAGUCUUGGUGUCUCAUCUUUGGAUUGAAGUGAGAUCACAGUUCUUUCAUUGUCCAGCUUUACACAGAAGAUGGAAUAGGGAGUUUGCCAUUGAAUUCUAAUCCAUUUGGCGAUACUUCAGGUCAUGGCAGGGGGAUUUAAAGUCCCGACUGUAGAUCUCAUCAGAGCAAGCCUCUCCUCUAUGAUGUGCUCCAUGACUGCGAGUCAAAUGUUUGCCUCUUGAAAGGUCUGAAGACGGCAGGAGGUUAAAAUAGAAUAGACUAAAGAAAAAGAGGACAAAGGGAGGUGGGGUAGGGGUGUAGGGGUUUGGGGGCAGUUGGUAUGGAUCUGAGAAUGUCAAGCCAUGGGUUUGGGGGCUUAGAUGGGAAAAUGGUGAUGGCCUGGGAUAUUUUGUAAAGGGAGAGGGUGGAGAGAGAGAGAUGAUAGAAAUCUAGAGAGAGAGGAAGAUGGAAAAGAGGAAGAUGGAACAGAGAGAGGUGAGAGAAACUAAUGCUCAGCCAAAAACGAUUCGAUUUUUCUUUGGCUCCAAAUUUGUUUUUGGGUGUAGCUAGCAUACGGAUGCAUCCGUAGCUGUAGAGGUAGGGUGCAACUUCAAAUUUUAUCAUGGU
RNAcentral lists this long non-coding RNA (1265 nucleotides) under Amborella trichopoda. RNAcentral describes it as "long non-coding RNA (ATRI_LNC002044)". The record is from RNAcentral. Lineage: Eukaryota; Viridiplantae; Streptophyta; Magnoliopsida; Amborellales; Amborellaceae.